RNAcentral lists this long non-coding RNA (603 nucleotides) under Homo sapiens (human). Its description in RNAcentral is "HSALNT0404362". The record is from RNAcentral. Lineage: Eukaryota; Metazoa; Chordata; Mammalia; Primates; Hominidae.
UCUCUCCCUUCAUUGAUGUGUUGCACCAAGGAGAAUGUGAAACCCAAGGGUCCACCUGCCUCCUCUCCAGCCUGGCCCAGAAAGCACCUUUGAAAGCGCACGAUCAGAAGGGUGGCUGUUCCCGCCACCAGCACGAAGAUGGCCACCACAAUAAGGACCACAUAACCGGCACCCAGGCCUGCUUCUGCAUGAGGAGGCUCACCUCGGGGAGGAGACAGGCACAGCACCAGCCAAAGGGUGGCAACAACUGAAGUGUCCACCAACAGGUGAAUGAAUCCAUACAUUGUGGCCCCACCGUGCAAUGGAACAUGACCCAACCGUGAAAGGAGUAAAGCGCUGACCCACUGCAACGUAAAUGAACCUUGAAGAUGUCACGCUGAGUGAAAGCACUGAGUGAAGGAAGCCAGGCCCAAGAGGCACCAAUAACAUGACCCUGUUCAUAGGAACUACCCGGAACUGAACAGAAAGCAAACGAGUGACUUUCAGAGACAGGGGGAAGGUGGAUGGGGAGGGACUCAUGCGUAUGAAGUUGCAUUUAGGGUGAGGAAAAUGUUUUGAAACUACAUGGAGUUGGUGGCUAUAAAACACUCUCAAUGUACUAAA